Aethalodelphis obliquidens (Pacific white-sided dolphin) is the source of this 607-nucleotide long non-coding RNA. RefSeq lists it as uncharacterized. The record is from RefSeq and is a predicted model, not a curated record. Lineage: Eukaryota; Metazoa; Chordata; Mammalia; Artiodactyla; Delphinidae. The transcript is spliced from 3 exons.
GGCUGGUGUCAGGCGGGGCGGCGGCGGCCGCCAGGCAGUUCCAUCUCUCGUAUCUGAACUGGCUCCUGCACUCCUGAAUGCCCAGACGGGCGCCCUCGCAGAUGCUCGGCAGCAGACAACGUAAAAAGGCCAGCCGUAGUAGGGGCUCUCAGCAGCCUUCUCCUCGCGAGCUGGGAGCAGCGUGAGGAAGUUGGGAAAGUAGCUUGGGGCACUCCUCCCGAGACGAGUUGAAGAUGUGCCGGAGAUGCGGGAGCGUCCCUCGCAUUCCAAGGGCACAGAGCUGCCCCGGCCUCUUUCCUUCUCCAAGUUCUCUUUAUCAUCUUAGUGGAGUCCAGCUUUUCCUAACAUUCAUCUCAAGCUGAUGGUUUCUGGCAGUUGGGUCGCUUGUCACCUCCCAGAGAGAAGCAUCUGCCGGACCCCGCCCUCGCACGCCCCUCCAGGCUCUGCCUGGCAGAGACCUCCAGCUACAUUCCCCGCGUGUCCAGACGAGCACCUGGCUGAGGCCUCCGGAGAUGGAGAACCUGUUAUUCUAAAGGCUUUCCACAGCGUUAUAAAUCAAAAUUAAGAGGAAUGUUUCAAAGAAACUAAUACAAUGGCUAAAAGAUGA